UAUAGCAAUGGUGUUUUUGUC
This 21-nucleotide microRNA is filed under the name Selaginella moellendorffii. RNAcentral describes it as "smo-miR1099". The record is from miRBase by way of RNAcentral. Lineage: Eukaryota; Viridiplantae; Streptophyta; Lycopodiopsida; Selaginellales; Selaginellaceae.